Molecule: transfer RNA, 85 nt
Filed under: Schizophyllum commune
Lineage: Eukaryota; Fungi; Basidiomycota; Agaricomycetes; Agaricales; Schizophyllaceae
Also listed under: 1 other name
Description: tRNA-Ala
Rfam family: tRNA
About the family: Transfer RNA (tRNA) molecules are approximately 80 nucleotides in length. Their secondary structure includes four short double-helical elements and three loops (D, anti-codon, and T loops). Further hydrogen bonds mediate the characteristic L-shaped molecular structure. tRNAs have two regions of fundamental functional importance: the anti-codon, which is responsible for specific mRNA codon recognition, and the 3' end, to which the tRNAs corresponding amino acid is attached (by aminoacyl-tRNA synthetases). tRNAs cope with the degeneracy of the genetic code in two manners: having more than one tRNA (with a specific anti-codon) for a particular amino acid; and 'wobble' base-pairing, i.e. permitting non-standard base-pairing at the 3rd anti-codon position.
Source: RNAcentral
GGGCUUGUGGUACAGUGGUAGCACGUUCGCUUAGCAUCUUGAAUGAGCAUGCGAAAGGUCCUGGGUUCAAUUCCCAGCAAGUCCA